This 440-nucleotide ribosomal RNA is filed under the name uncultured bacterium. RNAcentral describes it as "partial 16S ribosomal RNA". It matches the Rfam family "Bacterial small subunit ribosomal RNA", at positions 338 to 795 of the family's 1533-position model. The record is from RNAcentral.
CCUACGGGAGGCAGCAGUGGGGAAUAUUGCACAAUGGGGGAAACCCUGAUGCAGCGACGCCGCGUGAGUGAAGAAGUAAUUCGUUAUGUAAAGCUAUAUUAGCAGGGAAGAAAAUGACGGUACCUGAGUAAGAAGCUCCGGCUAACUACGUGCCAGCAGCCGCGGUAAUACGUAAGGGGCAAGCGUUAUCCGGAUUUACUGGGUGUAAAGGGAGCGUAGACGGAAGUGCAAGGGUGGAGUGAAAGGCGGGGGCUCAACCCCCGGACUGCGCUGGAAACUGUACGGCUGGAGGGCAGGGAAGGUAUGUGGAAUUCGUGGUGUAGCGGUGAAAUGCGUAGAUAUUAGGAAGAACUCCAGUGGCGAAGGCAGCUUACUGGACUGUAACUGACGUUGAAGCUCGAAGGCGUGGGGAGCGAACAGGAUUAGAUACCCCUGUAGUC